This 433-nucleotide ribosomal RNA is filed under the name uncultured bacterium. RNAcentral's name for it is "partial 16S ribosomal RNA". It matches the Rfam family "Bacterial small subunit ribosomal RNA", at positions 29 to 507 of the family's 1533-position model. The record is from RNAcentral.
AACGAACGCUGGCGGCAUGCCUAACACAUGCAAGUCGAACGAGACCUUCGGGUCUAGUGGCGCACGGGUGCGUAACGCGUGGGAACCUGCCCUUAGGUUCGGAAUAACUCCCCGAAAGGGGUGCUAAUACCGGAUAAUGUCUUCGGACCAAAGAUUUAUCGCCUUUGGAUGGGCCCGCGUUGGAUUAGCCAGUUGGUAGGGUAAAAGCCUACCAAGGCGACGAUCCAUAGCUGGUCUGAGAGGAUGAUCAGCCACACUGGGACUGCGACACGGCCCAGACUCCUACGGGAGGCAGCAGUGGGGAAUAUUGGACGAUGGGCGAAAGCCUGAUCCAGCAAUGCCGCGUGAGUGAUGAAGGCCUUAGGGUUGUAAAGCUCUUUUACCCGGGAUGAUAAUGACAGUACCGGGAGAAUAAGCUCCGGCUAACUCCGUG